AUAAAGUCUUAUUUUAGCUAAAACAUUUAUUUUAUAUAGAUUUUACAUGAAAAUUUUUGUGGGAUUUCUUUAAAUUUUUAAACCCCCCCUUUAAACCCCUAUUCUCAGGGGGUGGACCCCCCCCGGAAAGAAACCCCCCUUUAUUACCCCCCUUAAAAGGGGGGUGACCCCCCCCUGGGUUUAAACCCGCGGUUAUACAUAAUAUAUAAAUAAAUUUUAUUAUUUUAUAGUUAAAUAAUUUGAAUUAAAUUAAUUUUUUAUUAAUUAGGUGAAAUUUUUAAUAAUUUUUAUUUUAUUAAUUUAUUUUUUGAAGCUAUAUAAAUUUAAUAAUAAACUAGGAUUAGAUACCCUAUUAUUUGAAGAAUAAAUAUUAAUAAAAAUAAGGUAGUAAUAGAUAAAGACUUGAAACUUAAAAAAUUUGGCGGUAUUUUAGUCUAUUUAGAGGAACCUGUUCUAUAAACGAUAAUCCACGAUAAAUUUUACAUGAUUUUAUUUAAUUUGUAUAUCGUCGUUAUAAGAAAAUUUUAUAAGAAUUUAAAUUUUCUAGAAUUUUAAUUAAAUUUUAUUUCAGAUCAAGGUGCAAUAUAUAAUUAUGAAGAAAUGGGUUACAAUAAAUUUAUUUAUAUUGGAUAAUAAAUUGCAAUAUUUAUUUAAAAUUGGAUUUAAUAGUAAAUAAAAUUAUAUAAUUUUUUUGAUUUUAGCUCUAAAAUAUGUACAUAUCGCCCGUCACUCUCUUUCUUAAUUUAAAAAGAGAUAAGUCGUAACAAAGUAGAUGUACUGGAAAGUGUACCUAGAAUUAU
Molecule: ribosomal RNA, 800 nt
Filed under: Orohermes crepusculus
Lineage: Eukaryota; Metazoa; Arthropoda; Insecta; Megaloptera; Corydalidae
Description: 12S ribosomal RNA
Source: RNAcentral